ACGCUUGGCGGCGUGCCUAAUACAUGCAAGUCGAGCGAAUCUUGAGGUGCUUGCACCUCUUGGUUAGCGGCGGACGGGUGAGUAACACGUGGGCAACCUGCCUGUAAGACUGGGAUAACUUCGGGAAACCGGAGCUAAUACCGGAUAAUCCUUUUCCUCUCAUGAGGAAAAGCUGAAAGUCGGUUUACGCUGACACUUACAGAUGGGCCCGCGGCGCAUUAGCUAGUUGGUGAGGUAACGGCUCACCAAGGCGACGAUGCGUAGCCGACCUGAGAGGGUGAUCGGCCACACUGGGACUGAGACACGGCCCAGACUCCUACGGGAGGCAGCAGUAGGGAAUCUUCCGCAAUGGACGAAAGUCUGACGGAGCAACGCCGCGUGAGCGAUGAAGGCCUUCGGGUCGUAAAGCUCUGUUGUUAGGGAAGAACAAGUACCGGAGUAACUGCCGGUACCUUGACGGUACCUAACCAGAAAGCCACGGCUAACUACGUGCCAGCAGCCGCGGUAAUACGUAGGUGGCAAGCGUUGUCCGGAAUUAUUGGGCGUAAAGCGCGCGCAGGCGGUCCUUUAAGUCUGAUGUGAAAGCCCACGGCUCAACCCGUGGAGGGUCAUUGGAAACUGGGGGACUUGAGUACAGAAAAGGAAAGCGGAAUUCCACGUGUAGCGGUGAAAUGCGUAA
Molecule: ribosomal RNA, 679 nt
Filed under: Bacillus sp. SC6T
Lineage: Bacteria; Bacillati; Bacillota; Bacilli; Caryophanales; Bacillaceae
Description: bacterial SSU rRNA
Rfam family: Bacterial small subunit ribosomal RNA
Source: RNAcentral